Molecule: microRNA, 17 nt
Filed under: Corchorus olitorius
Lineage: Eukaryota; Viridiplantae; Streptophyta; Magnoliopsida; Malvales; Malvaceae
Also listed under: 1 other name
Description: hsa-miR-44
Source: RNAcentral
AGUGUGUGUGUGUGUUU